Molecule: long non-coding RNA, 927 nt
Filed under: Vitis vinifera (wine grape)
Lineage: Eukaryota; Viridiplantae; Streptophyta; Magnoliopsida; Vitales; Vitaceae
Description: long non-coding RNA (VVIN_LNC004704)
Source: RNAcentral
AGCAAUCUCACAUUCUUCGGACCAUUCCAAAUCUCCACUUUUUUGAAUUUUUUUGAACCUCAUGUGGCUUGAAAAUCAUUUAAAUAAGUUAAUUGCACUUAGGGGGUGUGAAAUUAAUGUCUAGAAAAAUCGAAAUCCAAAAAUACUAAAAAAUUAGUAAGAGUGUGAAGAUUGUGAGAAAUCCUCACAUUCUUCGUACCUUCCCAAAUCUCCACCUCUUUGAAUUUUUUUAAAAAAUAUUUGGACCUCAUAUGGUUUCAAUAUUGGAUAAAUAGGUUAAUUAUACUUAGAAAGUGUGAAAUUGAUGGCAGGAAAAAUAAAAAUCCAAAAAUACUAAAAAAUUAGUAAGGGUAUGAAAAAUAUGAAGAUUCUUCACAUUCUUCGUACCCUUCUAAAUCUCCACUUUUUUUUUUUUUUAAAUUUUAAUUUUUUUUUUUGGACCUUAUAUGAUUUCGAUAUUGUUUAAAUACUGUUAAUUACACUUAAGAGGUCUGGAAUUGAUGCCCAAAAAAAUCAAAAUCCAAAAAUACUAAAAAAUUAGUAAAUGACAAAGAAUGUGAGGGUUCCUGACAUUCUUUGUACCCUCCUUAGCGCAUAUAUGUAUGUCCUAUGUGAUACCUAAUGUUUCUUUAAAUCUCAACUAAUUUUUGACAUUUUAUGAGGACUUGAUUUAUGAUAGUGGUUGCACGAAAUAUACAAUUUUGUAUUUAGAUUUUUCUUGAUAUUUAAUAUUGAGUUCUUGUCAUUUCAUUUAGGUAGUAUAUAUGUCAUGUAUAUUAUAGAUUGAUAUACAAUUUUGUUAUUAUAAUUGCUCUAACCCUAUUUAACUAUAUGUAAAUACAUUGUAAGUCAUGUAUGCUAUCUAAGUACGUCCAUUACACUUUCUAUCCCUUUAGUUCUGCAAAAUAGACAUGCUUUGUGUGUGAA